GUGCCAGCAGCCGCGGUAAUACGAGGGGGGCAAGCGUUGUUCGGAAUUAUUGGGCGUAAAGGGUGCGUAGGCGGUUUUGUAAGUCUUGUGUGAAAUCUUCAGGCUCAACUUGAAGACUGCACGAGAAACUGCAGGGCUUGAGUGUGGGAGAGGUGAGUGGAAUUCCUGGUGUAGCGGUGAAAUGCGUAGAUAUCAGGAGGAACACCUGUGGCGAAAGCGGCUCACUGGACCACAACUGACGCUGAUGCACGAAAGCUAGGGGAGCAAACAGGAUUAGAUACCCUGGUAGUCC
Molecule: ribosomal RNA, 292 nt
Filed under: uncultured bacterium
Lineage: Bacteria
Description: partial 16S ribosomal RNA
Rfam family: Bacterial small subunit ribosomal RNA
Source: RNAcentral